AAUCCGUGUUGCGGGCACUUUCUUAGGAGCUCCUUGAACCUUUCUCAUGUCUUAAAUAGAACUCCAAUUCCGGCUGAACAAAGGAUAAGAUCUCAUUCCUAAGCUU
Molecule: small nucleolar RNA, 106 nt
Organism: Dioscorea cayenensis subsp. rotundata (Guinea yam)
Lineage: Eukaryota; Viridiplantae; Streptophyta; Magnoliopsida; Dioscoreales; Dioscoreaceae
Source: RefSeq, a predicted model, not a curated record